This 216-nucleotide long non-coding RNA is filed under the name Elaeis guineensis (African oil palm). RNAcentral describes it as "long non-coding RNA (EGUI_LNC040240)". Lineage: Eukaryota; Viridiplantae; Streptophyta; Magnoliopsida; Arecales; Arecaceae. The record is from RNAcentral.
AGAUGAGUCCAGAUUCCAGAUGAAAGCUAAUACAAUCAUAAGUCCAAACAAAGAGAGAAUACAUAAAGCCUAAUACAUCAAAUAGCCAAGCAGAUAUCUCCUAUGGUACUACUCAUCAAAAGGAAUCUCUAGGGUCUCAGAAGAAGAGGUUUGGGAAGAUCCUACUCGAUGGACCAACCAUCUGAGAAGGAGGGAACCCCACACCACCAUGAGUAU